Molecule: long non-coding RNA, 816 nt
Filed under: Homo sapiens (human)
Lineage: Eukaryota; Metazoa; Chordata; Mammalia; Primates; Hominidae
Description: HSALNT0333911
Source: RNAcentral
GAGGAGAGCCACUACAGAAAUGUCUCAUGACUUUUUUAUGUGUACCAUCCUUUAAUAGAUCUCAUACACCAGAAUUCAGAUCAUGAAUGACUGACAGAAUAUUUUGUUGGGCAGUCCUGAUUUAAAACUAAGACUGGCUUGUGGUUAAAUGAAUAUGUUCAGUUUUUGAUUUUAAUAGUAACUCCAAUUCAGUAAAUGCUAUCACUGUUUACCCCUUCUAAAGAUAUGAUUAGACUUCGUUAGUAAUGUUCAACUUUUCACAAAGAUGGUGAGUGCCAUCUUAAAACUUACUGGAGAUUGGUUUUAUAUUUAGAUUUCUAUAACUGGUUAUGUGAAUAUAUUUAAAUACUGGGGAAAUUCCUACACUGUCUUAGAACCAAGCAAGAUUCACCUGUGUUUUGUGUUCAUUUGCCUCUUAAAGGCAAGGGUUGAAGAUAAGUAAGGGAGCAAUGUCUAUAGUUUUGGCCUUAACUAUAACAAUCUAAUUAUAAUUCCCUGUAUUUAAAAUGGUUCCUUUUACUUAUUGAAAGGCAUUUUAGUGUGGUUUAUGUGUAAUAUUAAAGAUUAUUCAACACCUCUCACAUCUUAUAGAUCUAUAAGGUCACAUGCUUUUAAAAUAGUAGCAAGUUAAACUUCACUCUUGAAUUCUUUACAAUCUAAGUCAAACUAGGUUAUAAUUUAGGAUUGUCUUUAAACAGCCAUUCAGAAACAUAAAACUGUAGAACUGUGUAUUUGUGAUUGGGAAUGGUGCUUUUGCCAACUUAAAAGGAUUAAAGUAAUGGAGAUAUACACAAAUUUUAAAAUUAUGUGUGAUUA